GUGAGGAAUUUUCCGCAAUGGGCGAAAGCCUGACGGAGCAAUGCCGCGUGAAGGAUGAAGGCCUAUGGGUUGUAAACUUCUUUUCUCAGAAAAGAAUUAUGACGGUAUCUGAGGAAUAAGCAUCGGCUAACUCUGUGCCAGCAGCCGCGGUAAGACAGAGGAUGCAAGCGUUAUCCGGAAUGAUUGGGCGUAAAGCGUCUGUAGGUUGCUUAAAAAGUAUUCUGUCAAAGAUUAGGGCUUAACCCUAGAUAGGCAGAAUAAACUUUUAAGCUAGAGUUUGGUAGAGGCAGAGGGAAUUCCCGGUGGAGCGGUGAAAUGCGUAGAUAUCGGGAGGAACACCAAAGGCGAAGGCACUCUGCUGGGCCAAUACUAACACUGAGAGACGAAAGCGAGGGGAGCAAAUGGGAUUAGAUACCCCUGUAGUCC
Molecule: ribosomal RNA, 426 nt
Filed under: uncultured bacterium
Lineage: Bacteria
Description: partial 16S ribosomal RNA
Rfam family: Bacterial small subunit ribosomal RNA
Source: RNAcentral